This 820-nucleotide ribosomal RNA is filed under the name uncultured marine bacterium. RNAcentral describes it as "bacterial SSU rRNA". It matches the Rfam family "Bacterial small subunit ribosomal RNA", at positions 56 to 923 of the family's 1533-position model. The record is from RNAcentral.
UGCAAGUCGAACGCAGUAGCAAUACUGAGUGGCAAACGGGUGAGUAUAAUGUGGGAAUCUGCCUUUUGGUUUGGAAUAACACGAGGAAACUUGUGCUAAUACCGAAUAAGCCUUCACAGGGAAAGUUUUAACGCCGAAAGAUGAGCCCGCACUUGAUUAGCUAGUUGGUAAGGUAAAAGCUUACCAAGGCGAUGAUCAAUAGCUGUUCUUAGAGGAAGACCAGCCACAUUGGGACUGAGACACGGCCCAGACUCCUACGGGAGGCAGCAGUGGGGAAUCUCGCACAAUGGGGGAAACCCUGAUGCAGCGAUGCCGCGUGAGUGAAGAAGGCCUUUGGGUUGUAAAACUCUUUCGUCGGGGAAGAAAAUGACUGUACCCGGAUAAGAAGGUCCGGCUAACUUCGUGCCAGCAGCCGCGGUAAUACGAAGGGACCUAGCGUAGUUCGGAAUUACUGGGCUUAAAGAGCUCGUAGGUGGUUAAAAAAGUUGAUGGUGAAAUCCCAAGGCUUAACCUUGGAACUGCCAUCAAAACUUUUUAGCUAGAGUGUGAUAGAGGUAAGUGGAAUUUCUAGUGUAGAGGUGAAAUUCGUAGAUAUUAGAAAGAACACCAAAUGCGAAGGCAACUUACUGGGUCACUACUGACACUGAGGAGCGAAAGCAUGGGUAGCGAAGAGGAUUAGAUACCCUCGUAGUCCAUGCCGUAGACGAUGUGCGCUAGACGUUGGAAAUAUAUUUUUCAGUGUCGCAGCGAAAGCAUUAAGCACACCGCCUGGGGAGUACGACCGCAAGGUUAAAACCUCAAAUGAAUUGACGGGGACCCG